UCUGUGGCCGCGGAGACACUGAGCUUAUCAGUUAUCAUCGGUCCUAUCAGUCUCGGUGUCGGGUGUCUCAUUUUAAUCUAAUUAUCGUACUAACGGGAAGUAUUGGACUCCGGAAAUUCCAAAGAGCUUGAAAAUCUACUCGAAAGUCUGCUGAGGCCUGCAAAAUUGGAGACAUUCAAAUAUUCCUGGUCUGAACUGAAGAAAAUACCAAAAGAUAAAAGACGGGAGAGCAGAAAAGGAUUGAUGAUUGGUCUUGAUAAAGAAAAGUAUGUGAAGGCGAAAAAGAUACGAGACAACUUUGUAUUUGGUACUAACAGCAUUAUUAGAAGUUUAGAAAGAGGGAACAUUCUAUGUGGAAUAGUGUCUCCAGAUUUUGAUCCUGCAAUGGUUACGGAUCACAUUAUUUCAGUCUCAAAACAAAGAGGAAUUCCAGUGGUUCUUCUCCCUGAGCUAAAUUCUAUUUGUAAACGUUGUCUAGGAUUCCCUGUUAAAGCCCUAGGAUUAAAGAAAAGCGAUUCAAUUAUAAGUGACGAUGGUUACACAAAUUUAAAAAAUCAAAUUCUGGCUUUAAGUGAUCUCCUUGAUGAAGACUUGAAGCGAAUUAAUUCUUCCAAGUCACCUCCUUCUCAUUCCAAAUCGAAGUUGCGACAUCCAAAACCCAUUACACCCACUCCAAGAGACCUAAUUCUAAAAAGGCCGAACAAAAGCAGUAGAUGUUUUGUGCCAGGAGGCUCCUCAGUAGAAGUCAGCAUGGAUAACUCAGAUUUCAUUUCAUUUGGAACUACCACAGCAAGUAAAGUCCUCUUACCGACAUCUAAGACUACUUGCUCAGAAACAGAUGACGAUAGCGAAUCUGAUUCCUAUGUUGAAGCACCACCCACAAAACUGAAACCAUACAGACCCAUGUUCCAGACUUUGAAACUUAAAAAAAUAAAAUCCAAAAGUUAA
Molecule: long non-coding RNA, 948 nt
Filed under: Bemisia tabaci
Lineage: Eukaryota; Metazoa; Arthropoda; Insecta; Hemiptera; Aleyrodidae
Description: lncRNA ENSSSA1NGG006806
Source: RNAcentral